Molecule: small nuclear RNA, 164 nt
Filed under: Echinops telfairi (small Madagascar hedgehog)
Lineage: Eukaryota; Metazoa; Chordata; Mammalia; Afrosoricida; Tenrecidae
Description: U1 spliceosomal RNA (ENSETEG00000021408.1)
Rfam family: U1 spliceosomal RNA
About the family: U1 is a small nuclear RNA (snRNA) component of the spliceosome (involved in pre-mRNA splicing).
Source: RNAcentral
AUACUUACCUGGCAGGGGAGACACCAUGAUCACGAAGGUGGUUUUCCCAGGGUGAGGCUCACCCAUUGCACUCCGGAUGUGCUGACCCCUGCGAUUUCCCCAAAUGUGGGAAACUCGACUGCAUAAUUUGUGGUAGUAGGGGACUGCGUUCGCGCUAUCCCCUG